Molecule: ribosomal RNA, 498 nt
Filed under: uncultured bacterium
Lineage: Bacteria
Description: partial 16S ribosomal RNA
Rfam family: Bacterial small subunit ribosomal RNA
Source: RNAcentral
GAUGAACGCUAGCGGCAGGCCUAAUACAUGCAAGUCGAACGAUAGAAGAGGGCUUGCUCUCUUCGAAAGUGGCGCACGGGUGCGUAACGCGUAUGCAACCUACCUUAAUCAGGGGGAUAGCCCGAAGAAAUUCGGAUUAACACCGCAUAAAAUCACAGUACAGCAUUGUACAAUGAUCAAAUAUUUAUAGGAUUAAGAUGGGCAUGCGUGACAUUAGCUAGUUGGCGGGGUAACGGCCCACCAAGGCGACGAUGUCUAGGGGAUCUGAGAGGAUGACCCCCCACACUGGUACUGAGACACGGACCAGACUCCUACGGGAGGCAGCAGUAAGGAAUAUUGGUCAAUGGAGGCAACUCUGAACCAGCCAUGCCGCGUGCAGGAAGACAGCCCUCUGGGUCGUAAACUGCUUUUAUUCGGGAAUAAACCUACUUACGUGUAAGUAGCUGAAUGUACCGAAGGAAUAAGGAUCGGCUAACUCCGUGCCAGCCGCCGCGGUAA